GUACACACCGCCCGUCAAGCCACGAAAGUUGGGGGGGCCCGAAGUCGCUGAGCUAACCGCAAGGGAGCAGGCGCCGAAGAUGAACUCCGCGAUUGGGACUAAGUCGUAACAAGGUAGCCGUAGGUGAACCUGCAGAAGGAUCA
RNAcentral lists this ribosomal RNA (143 nucleotides) under uncultured eukaryote. Its description in RNAcentral is "partial small subunit ribosomal RNA". It matches the Rfam family "Bacterial small subunit ribosomal RNA", at positions 1383 to 1525 of the family's 1533-position model. The record is from RNAcentral.